This 1028-nucleotide ribosomal RNA is filed under the name Escherichia coli. Its description in RNAcentral is "partial 23S ribosomal RNA". It matches the Rfam family "Bacterial large subunit ribosomal RNA", at positions 44 to 1068 of the family's 2925-position model. Lineage: Bacteria; Pseudomonadati; Pseudomonadota; Gammaproteobacteria; Enterobacterales; Enterobacteriaceae. The record is from RNAcentral.
AGCCGAUGAAGGACGUUACUAACGACGAUAUGCUUUGGGGAGCUGUAAGUAAGCGUUGAUCCAGAGAUUUCCGAAUGGGGAAACCCAGCAUGAGUUAUGUCAUGUUAUCGAUAUGUGAAUACAUAGCAUAUCAGAAGGCAGACCCGGAGAACUGAAACAUCUUAGUACCCGGAGGAAGAGAAAGAAAAAUCGAUUCCCUGAGUAGCGGCGAGCGAAACGGGAAGAGCCCAAACCAACAAGCUUGCUUGUUGGGGUUGUAGGACACUCUAUACGGAGUUACAAAAGUAUAUAUUAGACGAAUCAUCUGGAAAGUUGAAUCAAAGAAGGUAAUAAUCCUGUAGUCGAAAAUAUAUACUCUCUUGAGUGGAUCCUGAGUACGACGGAGCACGUGAAAUUCCGUCGGAAUCUGGGAGGACCAUCUCCUAAGGCUAAAUACUCUCUAGUGACCGAUAGUGAACCAGUACCGUGAGGGAAAGGUGAAAAGUACCCCGGAAGGGGAGUGAAAGAGAACUUGAAACCGUGUGCUUACAAGUAGUCAGAGCCCGUUAAUGGGUGAUGGCGUGCCUUUUGUAGAAUGAACCGGCGAGUUACGAUUUGAUGCAAGGUUAAGCAGCUAAUGUGGAGCCGUAGCGAAAGCGAGUCUGAAUAGGGCGUUUAGUAUUUGGUCGUAGACCCGAAACCAGGUGAUCUACCCUUGGUCAGGUUGAAGUUCAGGUAACACUGAAUGGAGGACCGAACCGACUUACGUUGAAAAGUGAGCGGAUGAACUGAGGGUAGCGGAGAAAUUCCAAUCGAACUUGGAGAUAGCUGGUUCUCUCCGAAAUAGCUUUAGGGCUAGCCUCAAGUGAUGAUUAUUGGAGGUAGAGCACUGUUUGGACGAGGGGCCCUUCUCGGGUUACCGAAUUCAGACAAACUCCGAAUGCCAAUCAAUUUAACUUGGGAGUCAGAACAUGGGUGAUAAGGUCCGUGUUCGAAAGGGAAACAGCCCAGACCACCAGCUAAGGUCCCAAAAUAUAUGUUAAGUGGAA